GCACGACUCUCGGCAAUGGAUAUCUCGGCUCUCGCAUCGAUGAAGAGCGCAGCGAAAUGCGAUAUGUGGUGCGAAUUGCAGAAUCCCGCGAACCAUCGAGUCUUUGAACGCAAGUUGCGCCCGAGGCCAACCGGCCAAGGGCACGCCUGCCUGGGCGUCAAGC
RNAcentral lists this ribosomal RNA (163 nucleotides) under Dendrobium menglaense. RNAcentral's name for it is "5.8S ribosomal RNA". It matches the Rfam family "5.8S ribosomal RNA". Rfam says of the family: 5.8S ribosomal RNA (5.8S rRNA) is a component of the large subunit of the eukaryotic ribosome. It is transcribed by RNA polymerase I as part of the 45S precursor that also contains 18S and 28S rRNA. Lineage: Eukaryota; Viridiplantae; Streptophyta; Magnoliopsida; Asparagales; Orchidaceae. The record is from RNAcentral.